UUGAUAGAACCGCGGGUGGUCCGU
RNAcentral lists this non-coding RNA (24 nucleotides) under Arabidopsis thaliana (thale cress). Lineage: Eukaryota; Viridiplantae; Streptophyta; Magnoliopsida; Brassicales; Brassicaceae. The record is from RNAcentral.